CUACGGGAGGCAGCAGUAGGGAAUAUUGCACAAUGGGCGAAAGCCUGAUGCAGCAACGCCGCGUGCACGAUGAAGGUCUUCGGAUCGUAAAGUGCUUUUCUGGGAGAUGAGAAAGGACAGUAUCCCAGGAAUAAGUCUCGGCUAACUACGUGCCAGCAGCCGCGGUAAAACGUAGGAGGCAAGCGUUAUCCGGAUUCACUGGGCGUAAAGCGCGUGCAGGCGGCUCGGUAAGUUGGGCGUGAAAUCUCCUGGCUUAACUAGGAGAGGCCGUUCAAUACUACCGGGCUAGAGAGCAGUAGAGGAAGAUGGAAUUCCCGGUGUAGUGGUGAAAUGCGUAGAUAUCGGGAGGAACACCAGUGGCGAAGGCGGUCUUCUGGACUGUUUCUGACGCUCAGACGCGAAAGCUAGGGUAGUAAACGGGAUUAGAUACCCCGGU
RNAcentral lists this ribosomal RNA (436 nucleotides) under uncultured bacterium. RNAcentral's name for it is "bacterial SSU rRNA". It matches the Rfam family "Bacterial small subunit ribosomal RNA", at positions 339 to 791 of the family's 1533-position model. The record is from RNAcentral.